AUGCAGGUGACGAGUCCCAAAUAGAACGAAAUGAGCGUCCUGGAU
Schistosoma rodhaini is the source of this 45-nucleotide non-coding RNA. The record is from Rfam. Lineage: Eukaryota; Metazoa; Platyhelminthes; Trematoda; Strigeidida; Schistosomatidae.